RNAcentral lists this ribosomal RNA (448 nucleotides) under uncultured bacterium. RNAcentral describes it as "partial 16S ribosomal RNA". It matches the Rfam family "Bacterial small subunit ribosomal RNA", at positions 354 to 796 of the family's 1533-position model. The record is from RNAcentral.
GUGCUGAAUUAUUCGCCAAUGCGCGAAAGCGUGACGGUGCGACGCCACGUGCGGGACGAAGGCCUUCGGGUUGUAAACCGCUGUCAAGGUAUAGAAAACCGUCGGAGUUAAUAGCUCCGGCGCUGAUCCUACCUAAAGGAAGCACAGGCUAACCUCGUGCCAGCAGCCGCGGUAAUACGAGGUGUGCGAGCGUUGUUCGGAAUCACUGGGCAUAAAGGGUGCGUAGGCGGUGCGCCAAGUCGGGUGUGAAAUCCCUUCGCUUAACGGAGGAACUGCAUUCGAUACUAGCGUGCUAGAGGGUAAAAGGGGCAAGCGGAAUUCUAGGUGUAGCGGUGGAAUGCGUAGAUAUCUGGGAGAACGCCGAGGGCGAAGGCAGCUUGCUGGGUUACUUCUGACGCUGAGGCACGAAAGCUAGGGGAGCAAACAGGAUUAGAAACCCCAGUAGUCC